AUUGGGGCGCCUGGGUUUUGUCCUCUUCGUGUGAGGACAUUUAGCUGUGGAGGCUGAGGCUUGUUUUAGACAGAAAUGCCAAUCUCCAUCUACUUCACCUCCGCUCACGUGUGGAGACAGCCGGGCCACUGCUAAAGAGACAAUCAAGGUCACAUGCAGGAGUUACGCAAGCCAAUGCAGGAGGAUCCAUCCAGCCCGAGAACUGACAGACCUUCCUAACUACAAAUCUUGAAGGACGAGGAGAGCAGGGAGAGGAGAUGCUCUCUGGAUCCACCCAGCCCGAAGGCUCAGGAUUCAAUGACAGGCAGGGAGUCAACGCAAAGGUCCUCUGACGGGCGAUUCAUGUGCAUCAUCUGUAAUUACUGAGUCAGCUUCAAGACUUUACAGCCAUCAACACACUCAUGACAGACCAGAAACCCGGUUCAAGUUCAGGAAGUUGCCUGUAACCCUCUUGCAUGGGAACUAGGAUGAACUCAAGCCUGUCUGGCCCCAAGUACGAGACACACCUCUUUCUUAAGCUGCUAAUACUUUAAUCAGAAGGUGAAAAAUAGGCAGAAGUUGAAAACAAUUGUUUUGGGAGAUCCUCGGGAAACAAUCCCCCAGUGGGGCCCGAAACCCUCUGCAUCGUGCAAUGAUUUCUUCUUUCCUUCUUGUGUGAACAGAUUAAACUAAUAGAUUAUGAGCAUUAUUCUUAAGCAACGUAUAUCAGGGUUGAUGGGAGCCUGUUCUUGAAAGAUAAGCUGCAUAUCGGCACUGAGGGAAAAUGAAUUAAAAUGCAAAUCUGAGUGUGCCCCCACUGCGAGGCUAUCUUUAAUAGAUAUGUCUCCCGGAAUAUAUCACAGACCAAACUGUCAGCUUGCAUCCCAAAUAGAGCAAAACCAGGCUCUAAUGGCAUUUCACUGAGGGUAAAGUUUAUAAUUGGAUUUUGCCAUAGGUGGGGUUUAUAAGUGACCUUGAGCCGGACCCAUAAUCUCUGACACAUGGGGAAAAAUAAAUUAGACACCACCCUCCCCUCCCGGCCUCCUUCCCGGAGCCCUGGCUUCACUGAGCACCCAAAGCCUCCCUGCAGACGUGGGGCACCUGCAUCUUUUGCUCCCCACUCCUAAGGGAGUGAUGUGCACCCUGAGGCCCCAGGGUGGUGCCCCAGGCAGACACAGGCUGUGGUUCCACCAGAGCUGGCGCUGCUUGGGCACUGCCCUCAGGGGGACUAAAGGACAGGCGGAAGGCUCUGCGCGGCUGUGCAUCGGGACACGCCCACUCACCAUGCUCAAGUGUCCUGCUGCCCCAGGCAGGGAGACGGGCGGCGGCUGAGAGUUGGCAGGGCCCCAGACAAGUAGUGAUGCCACAUCUUAGUAAGCAAAAAAUAGAAGGGACAGCGGAGAAAAUGCCAGAAGCCUGCAAGGAGAGACGACAGCGACUGCAGCAGCAGCGCCCCCCGCAGUGUGCCGCAGGCAUGAAGGGAAGGGAGCCGGCGGAGAAGUCCAGAGGAGGGACGGCAGGGCCUGCCCCGAGAGCAGGUGCCUCGGAGGUUGUCCUCAUCAUGUGAUUGGGUCAUGCAACAAAAAGCUGACUCCCACAAGGUCAUCCUUGUCACCCCCAGAAGACAGCCUACCAGAGAAUAAAACCACCGUACAAAAAGAGAUCAGAGAUAAGUGGUGCAAACAGGAGAACAGACGGGAAGAGACCGAGGGAGGAAGGACCGCGGUGACCCCGAGCCCUGGCUCCAGCCACCCUGAGGGAGAGGGACCCACGGAUCUUGCCGUGAGAUCCUUCAAUAAAAAAUUCGCUUUUGGGAGACGACAGUCUCAUCAUGGAAUUUUGCAUCAUACAGAAGUAAAAAUUUCAAACACAUCUGCCGGUCGCCUUGUAGUGAGCGGCACGGAGUGUGUCCACGUGCAGUCAAGACAUUCUAAGGUGGAAAUUCAAAGAGGAACUCUGUGGAAAUGUCACCUCUGCCUCACGUUGCAAUUCCGGGAAGUUCUUUUCCUCAGAAGAGACACAGAUAUGCAAAGAACAGUCCCAGAAUCUUGGGAGAGAAUUUCAGAACUCUACUUCACCGACCAUCAUCGACAGCAUUACCAGGCUUAUGACAUGAAGAGAAUAAUCCAGAGAUCAGCACUGAGUGCAAUUUGAAGGUUAGUAAGCAUCGGGGUGAUUCUGAUCCACUGGCACACUGUCACACAGCCAGCUCCCUCUGUGUUCGCCGUCCUUGGACGAUGAUGCAUAUCAAAGAAUCUUCAGUCACAGAACUUUGAGUAUCAACAGGAGGUGACAGUUGUCACUUCUCACUUCCUCCCUCAACUGGCACCUUUGCGAUGACUCCCUUGCAUUUAAUGAAGGCUUAGGCAAAAACACUCCCAUAGGCACGGGCCACCUUAUAAAUGCUGCUGAUUUAGGUUAAAAUGUCAGAUUGGCCCGAUGCUGUUACAUAUUGGUGGCUGUGAAAUUUAUUUAAGACUAUGCUCUAAUGAAAAGUUUCAGAUGAAACAUUAAUAACCAAUAAAUUCUCUUCCAUCUUGAGGUCAAGAUACCAAGAGAUUUCUCGAACAUCCAAUGUUUGUGUGGAAACCCGAAUGCCAAAGAACAAGAAAUCAACAUUCAAAAUUAACUAAAAUAAGAAAGAAAAACAUAAAAGCCUGUGAUUUAUCUGAUUUGUCCACCCCUGAAGCCUUCGGCUGCAAUGGUGCUUCCUGUAAUUCAGGAUACGACCACGACAAAAUCACCAUCGUCUAUGUUCAGCGGGACUCCCUCGCGCUUGAUGAAAUGGCUAGAGGAAAUUGGUCUUGGUGUGCUACCAAAGCUGUUUAGAACAUUUGUCAGAAAUAUACAACUACUUGACGUGUA
This is a non-coding RNA of Ictidomys tridecemlineatus (thirteen-lined ground squirrel), 2844 nucleotides long. Lineage: Eukaryota; Metazoa; Chordata; Mammalia; Rodentia; Sciuridae. The record is from RefSeq and is a predicted model, not a curated record.